RNAcentral lists this ribosomal RNA (497 nucleotides) under uncultured bacterium. RNAcentral describes it as "partial 16S ribosomal RNA". It matches the Rfam family "Bacterial small subunit ribosomal RNA", at positions 28 to 507 of the family's 1533-position model. The record is from RNAcentral.
GAUGAACGCUGGCGGCGUGCCUAAUACAUGCAAGUCGAGCGAACAGACGAGGAGCUUGCUCCUCUGACGUUAGCGGCGGACGGGUGAGUAACACGUGGAUAACCUACCUAUAAGACUGGGAUAACUUCGGGAAACCGGAGCUAAUACCGGAUAAUAUAUUGAACCGCAUGGUUCAAUAGUGAACGACGGUUUUGCUGUCACUUAUAGAUGGAUCCGCGCCGCAUUAGCUAGUUGGUAAGGUAACGGCUUACCAAGGCAACGAUGCGUAGCCGACCUGAGAGGAUGAUCAGCCACACUGGAACUGAGACACGGUCCAGACUCCUACGGGAGGCAGCAGUAGGGAAUCUUCCGCAAUGGGCGAAAGCCUGACGGAGCAACGCCGCGUGAGUGAUGAAGGUCUUCGGAUCGUAAACCUCUGUUAUUAGGGAAGAACAAAUGUGUAAGUAACUAUGCACGUCUUGACGGUACCUAAUCAGAAAGCCACGGCUAACUACGUG